This 274-nucleotide ribosomal RNA is filed under the name uncultured bacterium. RNAcentral's name for it is "partial 16S ribosomal RNA". It matches the Rfam family "Bacterial small subunit ribosomal RNA", at positions 79 to 348 of the family's 1533-position model. The record is from RNAcentral.
CUAAGUUUGAUGGCGACCGGCGCACGGGUGAGUAACACGUAUCCAACCUGCCGAUGACUCGGGGAUAGUCUUUCGAAAGAAAGAUUAAUACCCGAUGGCAUAGUUCUUCCGCAUGGUAGAACUAUUAAAGAAUUUCGGUCAUCGAUGGGGAUGCGUUCCAUUAGGUUGUUGGCGGGGUAACGGCCCACCAAGCCUUCGAUGGAUAGGGGUUCUGAGAGGAAGGUCCCCCACAUUGGAACUGAGACACGGUCCAAACUCCUACGGGAGGAGCAUG